Long non-coding RNA from Poecile atricapillus (Black-capped chickadee), 2957 nucleotides. RefSeq lists it as uncharacterized. NCBI's taxonomy places the organism in Eukaryota, Metazoa, Chordata, Aves, Passeriformes, Paridae. The transcript has 3 exons. The record is from RefSeq and is a predicted model, not a curated record.
AAUAAAUUUAUUAGAGGCAGCCCUUUCUUUUUCUUUCCUAUUAAAAAAUUGAAGCAUUUCACUCUCUUAAUUUCUUACUCUUAAUGUCAACCAGUCUGGCAGAGAGCCAGGAAAUCCUCUAGGGGUAGGUGAAUGUCUGUGGGAUACAGGGAAUGAUUUUGAGCUGUGGAUGGGUGGCAGCAGAAGGCGACUGAUCCCACAGAGAUCCACUUGGAUCCGUGGGUGCUUCCAGAUCCUUGCAGAGAAGCUCAGGAAGAGUUCAUCCAUCCCAUCAGUGACACAUCACAUUUCCCAGGAGCAGGGCUCAGCAGCACAGGCUGAGUGAGGGAUGUGCCUAAUUCCCUUGCUGGACCCAGGCUGUACUUCCCAGGGUGAUGCUCUCUCCGCUUCCAUCCGGCAUCAUUUGCAUUCCCUCCUCCUGCUCUCAGGAUGUGCAGGGAAGGCACCAGCGUGUGGACGUGUGUGCAAUUCCCAACACGCACGGAGUCAGGGCUGACACGUCUGUCACACGCUCUGCGAGACAAAGCUGAGAAUGGCACCACAUUCCCUGGCAAGUUUUCCCUCCGGUUUACCCAAGGAUCUGAGGACCUUUAUUAAGUCACAGCUAAACACGGCACCGAUCAAAUGAGCUCUGCCCAUUUUCUCCCCCAAUAUCCCAAAAAGCCCAUCACCGGCUCAGACACUCCGUUAUCCCAACGCUUCCUCCAGCAUGCCUCCAAACUGUUAAUCAUUGCCAUGGGAAAUCCUACGCUCAUCUACACAAAUUAGAAUGUAAUUUGUGUAUCUAAACAUCACAGCUCAGCUCACCCGCUCUGCCUGAGGAGCCGGGAUACCGCCGGCACCCGUGAGUGAGCUCACAUGGAAUUACGACUCUGGAGGAAACGGCAAACUGCUCUCCUCAAAUAACGGGAAAUGGCUGGAUAAAAUCAGAUUUCCUACGGAACAGCGUGUCUCUGGGAGUGGGUGAAGCGAUACAUCACGGGCUGGCUGAAGGUGGAGGAGCUCCUUGCUGGGUGCAGCCCACCUGUGGGACCAGCGUGGGCUCCAGUGGGAAGCAGCAGCUGCUGGAGGAUCCAGGCGCCUCUGGAGGGAACCGAAACCUUGCAGGAAGAGACCACAGAACUUCCCCCAGCCGGCAGCCGCUGCCCCAGCUCCCCCGGGAUCAGGGGGCUGUGAGGGGACGGGUUGAAAAUGGGCCCUGUCUGGAAGGGUGACUCGACAACUAAAUCUUACAGCUUUCAGAAACGGGGGAAACCCUCUGGAGGGAUGACAAGCCAGGGGUGGCCUUGUGGCGGCUCUGCCUGCGGAAGGCACCCACAGCCUGGAGGCAUCCGCCCCAGGGCAGGGCACCCGGCUCAUCUGGGGCACCGAGCAUCCCUGUGGGCCCCACGAGGGGCCGUGGCUGCGGGACACGGCACAAACAGGACGUGCGGUGAGUGCGAGGGAACAUUUGGGCUGAGAAAUCACCGCAGGGAUCUGCCCUGGGGUGGGGUCAGCCAGGCCCUGCUCCCCCAGUUCUGCUGUGCCGGCAGCAUCCACAGGCAGCAGGAGACACUCACUGUGCUGGUGCAGAUGUGGCACAAAGGAUGCAGCGUAAGGGCUGGACUUGGACAGCUCUGGGGAGGAUUUCAGUGCAGCACAGUUGAUAACAUAGAAUCCCAGCAUGGUCUGCGUUGGAAGGGACCUUAAAGCUCAUUUCAUUUUACCCUCUGCCACGGGCAGGGACACCUUCCACUAUCCCAGGCUGCUCCAAGCCCCAUCCAACCUGGCCUGGAACAUUCCAGGGAUGGGGCAGCCACAGCUGCUCUGGGCAAUCUGGGCCAGGGCCUCACCACCCUCACAGAUGGAAUUCCUAAUAUCCCAUCUAACCCAGAUGAAGCCAUUCCCUGUGUCCUGUCCCUUCAUCCCUUGUCCCCAGUCCCUCUCCAGCUCUCCUGGAGCCCCUUCAGGCCCUGCAAGGGGCUCUGAGCUCUCCCUGGAUCCUUCUCUUCUCCAGGUGAGCAUUCCCAGCUCUCCCAGGCUGGCUCCAGAGCAGCCCUCAGAGCGUUUCUGUGGCUCCUCUGGACUUGCUCCAGCAGCUCCACAUCCUUCUGAUGCUGGAACCCCAUGAGGCAGCGCUGCAAGGAACUUGCCCACUCCCACCUGCUCCAUGUGGACCAGCAUGGGAGUGAACACACUUGUCCUCAGCUGCUGUUUGCCCACACUUCUGAUGCCAACAAGCUGCUGGAAUCAACCUGACUCUGAAGCCACAGCCCAGUGCUGCUCUUUGGAAGACACGUGGCACAGCACUCAAAGAUCAGCUGAUUAAACUGGAAAUGUGGUGGUCACCAGAGGGACAAAAUCUGGCAGGAUGGGAAGGGAACUGAGCCCCAGAUUGUAUCUGCAAGAGGAGAUUUUGGGAGAGCGCUGAUAUUUCUGCACUCAGGGAAAGCCAGUGGCCAUCCAGCUUUGUUGCAUUCACAGGAGCCAGCAGGAUUUGCUCUUCAUUCCUGACAGUGGGAAGAACACUCAAAAACGAACCAAUUUUCAGUUUCCAGGCAUCUGAUAUGUACCAAAGCCAUGUGUUGUUGUGCUCCCAUUGAUAUGCUGAUACUUAAUUCCUGAGUGCCUCCUCCAACACUCUGUGACUGCCUCCCGUUGGCCUCUUCCCUGUGUUUACAGCAUCAGAAGGAAACAUGUAAUUUUGGCUCUCUGAAGUGCUGGCUCUCUCACAUGGCAGACAGCUGAAUCCUGCCCACCCCUGCCGGGCACCACAACCACGAGGAGCUCACUCAGCUUUGCAGAAGCUGCAUUAGGAUUUUUAUAACUAAUCCCUGAGAUUGCACGUGCCUGUUGCUGCUUCGGUGUAUCAGAGAAGAGACAGGUGUUGUGAGGAGGGAUUUCUUACAGUGGACACUUUCUGAGGGGUUCAGAUAGGUUGAAAGAGGAGAUUAAAAGAAAAGCAGCUGGGAAAUGGA